UUGUAGGUGCCUAGGUGGGUGUCUUUACAAAAACGCGUACUCUCUGUUUGGCCCCACACGUUUUCCCCUCCCUCUCUCUCUCUCUCUCUCUCUCUUUCUCUUUCUUUCUCUCUUUCCUUUGCAAACCAGAGGGUUUUUAGUACAGUUUUGUACCUUGUUUCUCUCUCUCUCUCUUCCCCAUACUGCCACCUCACUCCUCUCUUUUCUUACCAUUCAAGUUUCUUUUCUUGAUCCUUCUCUCCCUUCUUGUUUUGUGGGUUCUGGGUACUCGUAUAUAUAUAUAUAAAAAGAAAUUUUGGGACUUGUUUGUUUUGAUGGCGGCGUAUCAGAUGAGUCCAGGUGGGAGUAGUAGUGGUGGAGGUUCGGGUUCACCGUUUGCGGGCCGGGGCCCAUAUGGGGUUGGGGAUACGACAUAUACCAAGGUUUUUGUUGGUGGGUUAGCUUGGGAGACUAAGAGUGAAUCACUCCGCCGUUAUUUUGAACAGUUUGGUGAUAUUAUCGAAGCUGUUGUCAUCACUGAUAAACAUACUGGACGCUCUAAAGGCUAUGGCUUUGUGACAUUUCAUGAUCCUGAAGCUGCAUGGAGGGCUUGCGCCAAUCCUAAUCCGAUCAUUGAUGGUAGAAGGGCUAAUUGCAACUUGGCUUCACUUGGGCGACCUCAAGGACUUUUACCUUAUGGACGUUUGAGAUCGUCAAUGCCCUAUCUGGGAAAUCCACAGGCCCCGAGGGGUUUGUAUAUGGGGGGCCCCUAUUAUCAGCUACCAGUUCCUUACAGCUAUCAGCCUGGAUUCUCAUAUCCUCCAUAUAGGUUUCCUGCAUAUGGGCCAGACUAUGUUUACCCACAGAUGUAUGGGAUGCCAAGUACUGUUGGCACAAACACAUUGCAAUUUGGCCAACUUGGUGCACAACCGGGCAGUCCUGCAUAUGCAUUUCGCGGUUUGAUGCCAGGUCCUCAGAUGGUGCAAUAUCAGAGACCUAAUGCCAGCGGAACUACGACAGACAGUGUUCCCCUGUUGCAACUGCCAUAUCAUUCAGUGAAGGUGCUUGAUUACCCCAUUUCUUCAGGGAUCACUAUGCCAUCUCCUCAUCAGUCACAGACUGCAGUACAAACUCGCCCACCGCAAUUCAGUCAGAGCAGUGGCUCUGAACAAAUGGCAGGUUGAAUGGUUUAACUGGAUGUAUCAUGGAUGAAUUCAAGGAAUUGGCUCGCUGUUAUUUGUGUGGUAAGACUUUGAACAUGACCUUGAGCGUCAGAUUGGAGGCAAACAGAGGUCUUCCAAAGUCAUGGCCACCAAGAACUCGAGGGAAUCACUUGUAAAAUACCAAGAAGUUCAGAUAACCAUAUCAGCAAUGAGGAAGUGCCUGGACUUCUCUUUCGCAGUCUAUGGACAAUCCUGCCAGAACUUCAAGUCACUAAUUGAUUAAGUACAUAAUUUAAUUGAUUGUGGGGAGAUGGUCCCCCAAUCAGGUUUAGUAGAAUCAACAUAUGAUUCUUUAAAUAGACCUGGGUCAUCCUGGUCUGUAGGUGCACACUUCUCUUUGGUAUCCAUUUGACUUGUCCGUCUUUUAUUUAUUUUUCUUUUUGGUGUUCCGAUCUCCUUAGGGAUAGGGGAUCAAUAUCCAUGUCUUCACCUCCAUCUGUUAACUGCUAUUUUGUAGGGACCGUUCUCUUUUUGUCGUUUUUAUGUUUUUUCAA
This is an RNA transcript of Capsicum annuum, 1696 nucleotides long. It is a transcript of the gene named RNA-binding protein 24, with no coding region annotated. Lineage: Eukaryota; Viridiplantae; Streptophyta; Magnoliopsida; Solanales; Solanaceae. The record is from RefSeq and is a predicted model, not a curated record. The transcript is spliced from 8 exons.